UACGUAGGGGCUAGCGUUGUCCGGAAUCAUUGGGCGUAAAGAGCGUGUAGGCGGCUCGGUAAGUCCGCUGUGAAAGUCCAGGGCUCAACCCUGGAAUGCCGGUGGAAACUGUCGGGCUAGAGUCCGGAAGAGGCGAGUGGAAUUCCUGGUGUAGCGGUGAAAUGCGCAGAUAUCGGGAAGAACACCAGUGGCGAAGGCGGCUACCUGGCCUGUAACUGACGCUGAGACGCGAAAGCGUGGGGAGCGA
RNAcentral lists this ribosomal RNA (247 nucleotides) under uncultured bacterium. Its description in RNAcentral is "partial 16S ribosomal RNA". It matches the Rfam family "Bacterial small subunit ribosomal RNA", at positions 524 to 771 of the family's 1533-position model. The record is from RNAcentral.